AACGCGAAGAACCUUACCAGGUCUUGACAUACUACGCUAACCUGAGAGAUCAGGCGUUCCCUUCGGGGACGUGGAUACAGGUGGUGCAUGGUUGUCGUCAGCUCGUGUCGUGAGAUGUUGGGUUAAGUCCCGCAACGAGCGCAACCCUUAUUAUCAGUUGCCAGCAUUCAGUUGGGCACUCUGGUGAGACUGCCGGUGACAAACCGGAGGAAGGUGGGGAUGACGUCAAAUCAUCAUGCCCCUUAUGACCUGGGCUACACACGUGCUACAAUGGUCGGUACAACGAGUCGCGAAGUCGUGAGGCUAAGCUAAUCUCUUAAAGCCGUUCUCAGUUCGGAUUGUAGGCUGCAACUCGCCUACAUGAAGUUGGAAUCGCUAGUAAUCGCGGAUCAGCAUGCCGCGGUGAAUACGUUCCCGGGUCUUGUACACACGC
RNAcentral lists this ribosomal RNA (433 nucleotides) under uncultured Lactobacillus sp. RNAcentral describes it as "bacterial SSU rRNA". It matches the Rfam family "Bacterial small subunit ribosomal RNA", at positions 958 to 1393 of the family's 1533-position model. The record is from RNAcentral. Lineage: Bacteria; Bacillati; Bacillota; Bacilli; Lactobacillales; Lactobacillaceae.